AUUGAACGCUGGCGGCAGGCCUAACACAUGCAAGUCGAACGGUAACAGGAAGCAGCUUGCUGCUUCGCUGACGAGUGGCGGACGGGUGAGUAAUGUCUGGGAAGCUGCCUGAUGGAGGGGGAUAACUACUGGAAACGGUAGCUAAUACCGCAUAAUGUCGCAAGACCAAAGAGGGGGACCUUCGGGCCUCUUGCCAUCGGAUGUGCCCAGAUGGGAUUAGCUUGUUGGUGGGGUAACGGCUCACCAAGGCGACGAUCCCUAGCUGGUCUGAGAGGAUGACCCGCCACACUGUAACUUAGACACGGUCCCGACUCCUACGGGAGGCAGCCGUGGGGAAUAUUGCACGAUGAGCGCGAGCCUGAUGCAGCCAUGCCGCGUGUAUGAAGAAGGCCUUCGGGUUGUAAAGUACUUUCAGCGGGGAGGAAGGGAGUAAAGUUAAUACCUUUGCUCAUUGACGUUACCCGCAGAAGAAGCACCGGCUAACUCCGUG
Molecule: ribosomal RNA, 490 nt
Filed under: uncultured bacterium
Lineage: Bacteria
Description: partial 16S ribosomal RNA
Rfam family: Bacterial small subunit ribosomal RNA
Source: RNAcentral